UACGAAGGGGGCUAGCGUUGCUCGGAAUCACUGGGCGUAAAGGGUGCGUAGGCGGGGCUUUAAGUCCGGGGUGAAAUCCUGGAGCUCAACUCCAGAACUGCCUUUGAUACUGGGAAUCUCGAGUCCGGGAGAGGUGAGUGGAACUGCGAGUGUAGAGGUGAAAUUCGUAGAUAUUCGCAAGAACACCAGUGGCGAAGGCGGCUCACUGGCCCGGUACUGACGCUGAGGUGCGAAAGCGUGGGGAGCAAACAGG
This 253-nucleotide ribosomal RNA is filed under the name uncultured bacterium. Its description in RNAcentral is "partial 16S ribosomal RNA". It matches the Rfam family "Bacterial small subunit ribosomal RNA", at positions 524 to 776 of the family's 1533-position model. The record is from RNAcentral.